Molecule: transfer RNA, 85 nt
Filed under: Felis catus (domestic cat)
Lineage: Eukaryota; Metazoa; Chordata; Mammalia; Carnivora; Felidae
Also listed under: 2 other names
Rfam family: tRNA
About the family: Transfer RNA (tRNA) molecules are approximately 80 nucleotides in length. Their secondary structure includes four short double-helical elements and three loops (D, anti-codon, and T loops).
Source: Rfam by way of RNAcentral
GCCUGGGUGGCUCAGUCGGUUGAGCGUCCGACUUUGGCUCAGGUCAUGAUCUCACAGUUCGUGGGUUCGAGCCCCGCAUCAGGCU